GGCUGGUCCGAAGGUAGUGAGUUAUCUCACUUGAUUGUUCAGUCAGUUACAGAUUGAACUCCUCGUUCUACUAUUUAACCCCCUUCUCACUACUGCACUUGACUAGUCUUAA
Molecule: Y RNA, 112 nt
Filed under: Propithecus coquereli (Coquerel's sifaka)
Lineage: Eukaryota; Metazoa; Chordata; Mammalia; Primates; Indriidae
Description: Y RNA (ENSPCOG00000010836.1)
Rfam family: Y RNA
About the family: Y RNAs are components of the Ro ribonucleoprotein particle (Ro RNP), in association with Ro60 and La proteins. The Y RNAs and Ro60 and La proteins are well conserved, but the function of the Ro RNP is not known.
Source: Rfam by way of RNAcentral